GAUGAAAAACGCAGUGAAAUGCGAUAAGUAAUGUGAAUUGCAGAAUUCAGUGAAUCAUCGAAUCUUUGAACGCACAUUGCGCCCCCUGGUAUUCCGGGGGGCAUGCCUGUCCGAGCGUCAUUACAACCCUCAAGCUCAGCUUGGUGUUGGGCCCCGCCGCCCCGGCGGGCCCUAAAGUCAGUGGCGGUGCCGUCCGGCUCCGAGCGUAGUAAUUCUUCUCGCUCUGGAGGUCCGGUCGUGUGCUCGCCAGCAACCCCCAAUUUUUUUCAGGUUGACCUCGGAUCAGGUAGGGAUACCCGCUGAACUUAAGCAUAUCAAUAAGCGGAGA
RNAcentral lists this unclassified non-coding RNA (328 nucleotides) under soil metagenome. RNAcentral's name for it is "partial contains 5.8S ribosomal RNA, internal transcribed spacer 2, and large subunit ribosomal RNA". The stretch from base 1 to 120 matches the Rfam family "5.8S ribosomal RNA", at positions 35 to 154 of the family's 154-position model. The record is from RNAcentral.